Molecule: non-coding RNA, 114 nt
Organism: Acanthosepion pharaonis
Lineage: Eukaryota; Metazoa; Mollusca; Cephalopoda; Sepiida; Sepiidae
Source: the annotation of a GenBank genome assembly
UUACGGUCAUAUCACGUUGAAACAUCGGUUACCGUACGAUCACCGAAGUUAAGCAACGUCAAGCCUGGUCAGUAACAAGACGAGUGACCGCUUGGGAAUACCAGGUGUUGCAAG